GUGUCAGCCGCCGCGGUAAUACGUAGGGGUCGAGCGUUGUCCGGAGUUACUGGGCGUAAAGCGUGCGCAGGCGGCUCAUCGCGCUCGGCGUGAAAGCCCCCGGCUCAACCGGGGAGGGUCGUCGAGGACGGGUGAGCUUGAGGGUAUCAGGGGUUGGUGGAAUUCCCGGUGUAGUGGUGAAAUGCGUAGAGAUCGGGAGGAACACCCGUGGCGAAGGCGGCCAACUGGGAUACACCUGACGCUGAGGCACGAAGGCGUGGGGAGCGAACGGGAUUAGAUACCCCGGUAGUCC
Molecule: ribosomal RNA, 292 nt
Filed under: uncultured bacterium
Lineage: Bacteria
Description: partial 16S ribosomal RNA
Rfam family: Bacterial small subunit ribosomal RNA
Source: RNAcentral